UCAUCCGAUCGCGCCAGUCUUCCGUUACUCGCCAAGCGCUACAGUUCGUCGUUACGGGAUGCUCAAAGUGUUGUGGCAGGAAUAAAUUUUAAUAAAACAAAACUACGUCGUAGCGUGUUCGCGCGAUCAAUGAGAACAAAGUCCAGAGCGGUUAGUUCCGUUCUCUGAUCUUUGGUAGCGAAAUACAUUUUAAUUUCACGCGACCGGUGUGUUUUCUCGUUCAGUUGAGUCAUAUCACAUAAGCUUCAAAAGCAAGAGUGCUUCGAGAUGCUCCUGAUGAACCUGCGAACCUUAUCAGCUCGUGCACUUCGCGAUCAAACUUUUUGCCGCAUGCUCACAACGCAACCGAAUACGCAACGUCCAGAAUCGCUCAAGCAGCACAGGCAACAGCAGCAACAGCUGCAGCAUGACUUCCCGGCAUACAAAGGUCAAAGUUACGACGAGGUGGUGAAGCUUCGCAAGCAGUAUCUAACGCCGAAUGUGACCUCUUACUACAAGAAACCAUUAUUGAUUUACAAGGGCCGCGGGGCACAGCUUUACGAUCAGGAGAAAAGCUAUUUGGACAUGUUCGGUGGAAUUGUCACCGUUUCGGUCGGUCACUGCCACCCGAAGGUAAAUGCCGCCCUGGAGGAACAGCUGCGUACCCUGUGGCAUACGACAAACAUUUACAUGCAUCCGAAACUUCACGAGUACGCAGAAAAGCUAGUGGCUAAAUUGCCCGGCGAUCUGAAGAAUGUGUACUUCGUCAACUCAGGCUCGGAGGCCAACGAUUUGGCCAUGAUGAUCGCGCGUCUGUAUACAGGCAACCACGACAUCAUUAGCUUCCGGAACGCAUAUCACGGAGCAUCCCCGUAUACGAUGGGUCUAACGGCACACUCUACGUGGCGGUAUCCGCUUCCAGGACUUAACAGUGGCAUCCUGCACGCUAUGAACCCGGAUCCGUACACCGGCAUCUGGGGUGGCAAGCAGUGCCGAGAUUCACCAGUGCAAACUACACGCAACUGUGACUGCCAGGCGAAUGAAUGUAAGGCCGCGGACAAGUACUACGAGCAGUUGGAGCAAAUAUUCAAAUAUUCACUACCACGUGGCAAGGUGGCCGCAAUGUUCGCCGAAUCCAUUCAAGGCGUUGGAGGCACGGUGCAGUUUACGAAGGGAUACAUAAAGCGUGCCGCUGAGCUUGUCCGAGCUAACGGUGGGUUGUUCAUUUCGGAUGAGGUACAGUCCGGAUUCGGUCGUACCGGAGAACACUAUUGGGGCUUCGAAGGGCAUGACAUUGUGCCGGAUAUAGUCACUAUGGCGAAAGGAAUCGGAAAUGGAUUCCCCAUCGGGGCGGUGGUUACUUCGCGUAAAAUCGCGGAGGUCCUUUCGCAGGCCUUACAUUUCAACACUUUCGGCGGCAACCCGCUGGCAUGUGCGGUCGGUAUUGCAGUUCUGGAUGUUAUCGACGAGGAAGAGAUGCAAAAGAACUCACUGGAUGUGGGCACCUACUUGUUGAAGGGAUUGGAAAAACUACGCGACAAGCACGAUGUUAUUGGGGAUGUACGUGGAAAGGGAUUGAUGAUUGGUGUGGAGCUGGUUGCCGAUAAGGAGACACGACAACAUUUGAGUGCACCACAUUUCGUCGACAUAUGGGAGAUGUGCAAAGACAUGGGCGUCCUGUUCGGCCGCGGCGGUUUGAAUGCAAACGUCCUUAGAAUUAAGCCUCCGAUGUGCAUAACUAAAGCUGACGUCGAUUUUUCCUUGCAAGUUCUUGACAUUGCCUUGAGCAAGCACUCAGAAAAAGCACGACAAAAUUGUUAGAAACCUUUCAUUUUGAAGCUCACAAUUUAGGCUGUACCUUAAACGGAGUACCGGAGGCUAUGCGUAAAAGAGCUUGUUGAAAAUCAAAAAUAAAUUAAAAGAUAAUUGUUGCAAUAAUACAACGAUCGCGAAUAUUAAUUUCAUUAAGAUUUUCAUGUAACGAUCAUAUCCAUCUGUAAAAACAUAAUAUUUCGAAAUCCGAUCUUCGCUGAAAACCCCCAAUAUUUGAUGAAGAACGAGUGAACCCAUGUUGGCAGAAUCGAAACGGUGCUACGUAUUAAGCCACCGAUGUGUGUUAAUCGUACCGAUGCUGACUAUGCACUAGCAGUUAUCGAUUACUGCUGCGAUCAGUACAUGAAGAAACGGAAGCGC
Molecule: RNA transcript, 2172 nt
Organism: Anopheles funestus (African malaria mosquito)
Lineage: Eukaryota; Metazoa; Arthropoda; Insecta; Diptera; Culicidae
Gene name: alanine--glyoxylate aminotransferase 2, mitochondrial
Exons: 7
Source: RefSeq, a predicted model, not a curated record